RNAcentral lists this ribosomal RNA (444 nucleotides) under uncultured bacterium. RNAcentral describes it as "partial 16S ribosomal RNA". It matches the Rfam family "Bacterial small subunit ribosomal RNA", at positions 339 to 795 of the family's 1533-position model. The record is from RNAcentral.
CUACGGGUCGCUGCAGUGGGGAAUAUUGCACAAUGGGCGAAAGCCUGAUGCAGCAACGCCGCGUGAGGGACGACGGCCUUCGGGUUGUAAACCUCUUUUAGCAGGGAAGAAGCGAAAGUGACGGUACCUGCAGAAAAAGCACCGGCUAACUACGUGCCAGCAGCCGCGGUAAUACGUAGGGUGCAAGCGUUGUCCGGAAUUAUUGGGCGUAAAGAGCUCGUAGGCGGUUUGUCGCGUCUGCUGUGAAAAUCCGAGGCUCAACCUCGGACCUGCAGUGGGUACGGGCAAACUAGAGUGCGGUAGGGGAGAUUGGAAUUCCUGGUGUAGCGGUGGAAUGCGCAGAUAUCAGGAGGAACACCAAUGGCGAAGGCAGAUCCCUGGGCCGUAACUGACGCUGAGGAGCGAAAGCGUGGGGAGCAAACAGGAUUAGAUACCCUCGUAGUC